Molecule: ribosomal RNA, 429 nt
Filed under: Actinomycetes bacterium
Lineage: Bacteria; Bacillati; Actinomycetota; Actinomycetes
Description: Actinobacteria bacterium partial 16S ribosomal RNA
Rfam family: Bacterial small subunit ribosomal RNA
Source: RNAcentral
UAGGGAAUCUUCCGCAAUGGGCGAAAGCCUGACGGAGCAACGCCGCGUGAGUGAUGAAGGUCUUCGGAUCGUAAAACUCUGUUAUUAGGGAAGAACAAAUGUGUAAGUAACUAUGCACGUCUUGACGGUACCUAAUCAGAAAGCCACGGCUAACUACGUGCCAGCAGCCGCGGUAAUACGUAGGUGGCAAGCGUUAUCCGGAAUUAUUGGGCGUAAAGCGCGCGUAGGCGGUUUUUUAAGUCUGAUGUGAAAGCCCACGGCUCAACCGUGGAGGGUCAUUGGAAACUGGAAAACUUGAGUGCUGAAGAGGAAAGUGGAAUUCCAUGUGUAGCGGUGAAAUGCGCAGAGAUAUGGAGGAACACCAGUGGCGAAGGCGACUUUCUGGUCUGUAACUGACGCUGAUGUGCGAAAGCGUGGGGAUCAAACAGG